This 253-nucleotide ribosomal RNA is filed under the name uncultured bacterium. RNAcentral's name for it is "partial 16S ribosomal RNA". It matches the Rfam family "Bacterial small subunit ribosomal RNA", at positions 524 to 776 of the family's 1533-position model. The record is from RNAcentral.
UACGGGGGGGGCAAGCGUUGUUCGGAAUUACUGGGCGUAAAGGGCUCGUAGGUGGCCAACUAAGUCAGACGUGAAAUCCCUCGGCUUAACCGGGGAACUGCGUCUGAUACUGGAUGGCUAGAGAUUGGGAGAGGGAUGCGGAAUUCCAGGUGUAGCGGUGAAAUGCGUAGAUAUCUGGAGGAACACCGAUGGCGAAGGCAGCCCCCUGGGUCGAGACUGACGCUGAGGCGCGAAAGCAUGGGGAGCGAACAGG